RNAcentral lists this ribosomal RNA (168 nucleotides) under uncultured bacterium. RNAcentral describes it as "partial 16S ribosomal RNA". It matches the Rfam family "Bacterial small subunit ribosomal RNA", at positions 361 to 525 of the family's 1533-position model. The record is from RNAcentral.
UUAUUUGCCAUGGGCGAAGCCUGUGCAGCCUGCCGCGUGUAUGAAGAAGGCCUUCGGGUUGUAAAGUACUUUCAGCGGGGAGGAAGGCGACGGGGCUAAUAACCCUGUCUAUUGACGUUACCCGCAGAACAAGCACCGGCUAACUCCGUGCCAGCAGCCGCGGUAAUA